AAGUUGCUCCGGUGACGAUUUUCUUGUCGUGAAGUUCGGUGGCGUUUCAGUUCUCGGACACGUGUCUCUCCAUCGCUAACAAUGUAACGCGUGGAUGUGUACGGGUUGACUCAUCUUCUUCAUUUUGGACUUUUUUAUCUGGUUUUUUUGGGCUUUCUUUUUAGCUGUGUUGGGUUUUUUGUUUGCCCUGGGUUGGGCCUCCUUGUAUUUGCUGGUAUCUAGCCUUUGUGCUUUUAUAAUACAAGAUGACAAAAAAAAAAAAAAAAACGCAAGAGAAUAAUAAACAAAGACACACGCAAUUAACACGGUCUUUGAAAAUAGUUUUUUACUCAUUAGUCUUUUGUUUAUUAAACAAGUUAAAAAACGUUAUACAGUUGACAAAACACACAAUUAUAUAGAUUGAUUCAUAGUUACUAGCUCUGUAAAUUAUUAUAUAACGGGUAUCGCCAUUGUUACUGAAUAGUUUUUCACGACAAGUUAUUUAUGUUAUUAAUAUAAAAAAAACUAUUAUUACAAAGGUGUAUAGAUUUUACAUACGCCAUAUAUUAAAAAAAGGAAAAAUGGAUAAGAGGGAAUCACAUACUGCUUAAACUGAGUUUGAAUAAUAAUUGUAAUAGUAUUACUUUUUGGCAAUGGUAUAUCGUGAUGAUGAUAAUAAUAUCUAAGAGAACAUGUCAACAACUUAAGUGUGCAUAUUAUUGUAACCUGUCAAAUCACAUGUGACUGAUUGAUGUUGCAUUUUCAAAUGCGAUUCUCAUGGACUUCAAAUAUGUGGCUCACAAGCGUUUUGUCUUUUCGAUCUGUUUAAUCAUUAACAAAUGUUAUUUUGCUUUGCUUUAAUGUUAAUCUAGUCACGUAUAAGUUAUAACAUUAACAAAUGCGAAAUCCACCGAGGGAUCGAAUAAUCAAAUAUUAUUAAAAGCUUUCACGCAUGAAACUUGUUACAUUGGCUAUUUGUUUAUGUCCCGCGAUUUGGAAGAUCUCUCUACCACAUGUAUCUAUUCUCUCACGACAAAGGAAUACAUCCUCUACACAUAAGCUUUCUCAUAAACUAUCACUCAAUAGAGAGGGUGGUAUAUGAUACGUACAACGCAACUGUUGUCUCUUGUCAAACAUAACACUUUUUAGGCUUGCAAUCUAUUAAUUUAUAUUUUAAGCAAAAAAAAAAUCUAUUAAUUUAUACUUGUGGUAUCAAGCCUCAUCACAUACAUCUAUUUCCGUACAGACACACAAGUGCUCGCCAUAGCUAUAACAACGAGAAGGCGAUUGACAAAACUCUUCAGAAUCCUAUCGGACAUCGACUCUUUGGUUUUCUCCCCUUCCUCCGCUUUCCGUUCAUGCUCCGUUGUCUUCACCCCAAGAUCCAGUAAUAGGCCGGUAGACUCUUUAGCUAAAACCUAUCUUGUUACGUUUUUGGGCCUGAGACUAUAUAUAGUACUCUAUUUAUGCUUUUUAAAACUAUGUUAUGUUUUAUUUAAUUAAUCAAAGUAACUAGUUGCCCAAAAAAAAAACUUGUGGUAUCACAAUAUCACUAUUAAAAUUCAAAUAUUGGCUUAGAGUAAGUACGUAAUACAUGAACCAAUACGUAGUAAUUUUGAAAAAGGAUUGCAUAAUAAUCCUAACAUAAGAAAACUUAACGAAAAUUGCUUAAACAUAUACGGGCCUUUCUUAAAGCCCAAGCAAAUAGGGUUAUUUGAUCCAAACACUAUCUUGCAGUCUUGUUGAAUAUAUACCAAAAUGUAUAAGGGUUUAUAUGCAAUUGCUCCAUAGUUAAAUAACCAGCAAAUCACGUUGUCUUUUUAUCGCGCGAACUCGGUGCCCGACCCGUUGAAUGACCCGACCCGGUUAAUCGGAGAAGAGACGCAGAUAACGUUCGAGCCUGUAACUUCUCGCCGAGGAUUUCUCUCUCCAGUCUUCCUUUUACCGGUCCGUUUCGAGUGAAACAGAGGAUGGCAACCGGUUUAGCAAUAAACCGAUGCUCAAUUUCAGUAUGCAGAACGGCCGAUGUGUUACUAAACCGGCCAACGGUCUCCGUCGUCAGGAAUUUGAAAUUCAAUCGCCGGCUAAUCGGAAACUGCUCGAUUGCGUCGGCGGUUCCUUACAUCGUCGCGGAGGACGAGAAGUACGGUAACAAACAGGUCAUCAGCCUCACUCCUCGCCUCUACGACUACAUCCUCUCCAACGUUCGCGAGCCUGAGAUUCUCAAGCAACUUCGUGAAGAGACUGCGAAGAUGCGAGGUAGUCAGAUGCAGGUGUCUCCUGAUCAAGCGCAGUUACUAGCAAUGCUUGUACAGAUUCUUGGAGCAGAGAGGUGUAUCGAAGUUGGAGUUUACACGGGGUAUUCAUCAUUGGCUGUGGCGUUGGCUCUACCAGAAUCAGGACGUCUUGUUGCCUGUGAGAGAGACUCUAACUCUCUUGAAGUUGCUCAGAGGUAUUACGAGCUUGCUGGUGUCUCUCACAAGUUUGUUUACACUAGUCAGGUUAUUGUGAAACAUGGUCUUGCAGCAGAGUCAUUGAAAUCGUUGAUUGAGAACGGUGAAGGAUCCAGCUAUGAUUUUGCAUUUGUCGAUGCUGAUAAGAGGAUGUACCAGGACUACUUCGAAUUGCUUCUUCAACUUUUAUCUUCUGUUGAUGCAGGUCAGGGUUGGUGGAGUCAUCGUGAUGGAUAAUGUUCUUUGGCAUGGACGAGUCGCGGAUCCUAUGGUGAAUGAUGCCAAGACCAUCAGCAUUAGGAAUUUCAACAAAAAGUUAAUGAAUGACGAACGUGUAAGCAUUAGUAUGGUACCAAUUGGUGAUGGCAUGACGAUAUGUCGCAAGAGAUAAGAAAAAAAACAUUUGGAUCCAAGAGAGAAGUCUUUAAGCAUAAGAGUAUCAAUGAAGCCGAGCGCAUCACUGUCUGUAAACGUUCUUUUGUUUGGACAGUACUCACAGUUCUCACUGCAUUCUAGCAAAGAAAGCGUCGGGCACAGAGAACCUGAUCAGCUUGGGAAGGCCCAACACAUUAAGUUACUAUGCUUUUUCGACAUUUUGGCCGUUCUGAUUACUUGAAAACAAAAGUUUAAUUAAUGUUGAACUUGCAUAACCUUAAACACUAAUGGAGUAAUGGGACUGAGCAAAGUCUGAGAUAAUAUCAGAGCAUCUUAACCGUUCAAA
Brassica rapa (field mustard) is the source of this 3153-nucleotide RNA transcript. It is a transcript of the gene named O-methyltransferase MdmC, with no coding region annotated. NCBI's taxonomy places the organism in Eukaryota, Viridiplantae, Streptophyta, Magnoliopsida, Brassicales, Brassicaceae. The record is from RefSeq and is a predicted model, not a curated record.